CCCUUAGAUGUUCUGGGCCGCACGCGUGCUACACUGAACGGUUCAAUGGGUAAGGUAGUGCGAAAGCAUGACCUAAUCUCGAAAUCCGUUCGUGCUGGGGAUAGAAGCUUGCAAUUAUCCUUCUUGAACGAGGAAUACCUUGUAAGCGUGAGUCAUCAUCUCACGCUGAAUACGUCCCUGCCCUUUGUACGCACCGCCCGUCGCUCCUACCGAUUGAGUGUUCCGGUGAGGCUUUGGGAGAAUGGCCUCAACAUGAGUUUAUCGUGUUUUGCCGUUUGAACUUAGUCAAACCUUAUCACUUAGAGGAAGGAGAAGUCGUAACA
This 323-nucleotide ribosomal RNA is filed under the name uncultured eukaryote. RNAcentral's name for it is "partial 18S ribosomal RNA". It matches the Rfam family "Eukaryotic small subunit ribosomal RNA", at positions 1470 to 1796 of the family's 1831-position model. The record is from RNAcentral.